GAUGAAGAAACGUAGCGAAAUGCGAUAAGUAAUGCGAAUUGCAGAAUUUCUAGUGAGUCAUCGAAUCUUUGAACGCACAUUGCGCCCUUUGGUAUUCCGAAGGGCAUGCCUGUUCGAGCGUCAUUAUCAACCCUCAAGCCUGGCUUGUUGUUGGACCUCAGGUCGCCGCUCCGGCGGACCGGUCUCAAAGACAAUGACGGCGUCCGUGGGACCCUCGGUGCAAUGAGCUUCUUCCAAAGCACGCAUCCAGAGUGGGCUCGCGGGGGCCGUCUCCCCGUCAUAUUUUAUCAAGGUUGACCUCGGAUCAGGUAGGAAUACCCGCUGAACUUAAGCAUAUCAAUAAGCGGAGGA
This 351-nucleotide unclassified non-coding RNA is filed under the name soil metagenome. Its description in RNAcentral is "partial contains 5.8S ribosomal RNA, internal transcribed spacer 2, and large subunit ribosomal RNA". The stretch from base 1 to 123 matches the Rfam family "5.8S ribosomal RNA", at positions 35 to 154 of the family's 154-position model. The record is from RNAcentral.